This 330-nucleotide unclassified non-coding RNA is filed under the name soil metagenome. RNAcentral's name for it is "partial contains 5.8S ribosomal RNA, internal transcribed spacer 2, and large subunit ribosomal RNA". The stretch from base 1 to 120 matches the Rfam family "5.8S ribosomal RNA", at positions 35 to 154 of the family's 154-position model. The record is from RNAcentral.
GAUGAAGAACGUAGCGAAAUGCGAUAAGUAAUGUGAAUUGCAGAAUUCAGUGAAUCAUCGAAUCUUUGAACGCACAUUGCGCCCCUUGGUAUUCCGGGGGGCAUGCCUGUUCGAGCGUCAUUUCAACCCUCAAGCUUCUGCUUGGUCUUGGGCCGUGCCGGUAACGGCUGGCCUUAAAACUAGUGGCGGUGCCAUCGAGCUCUACGCGUAGUAAUUCUAUCUCGCGUCUGGGCUUCGGUGGACGCUGGCCAGCAACCCCCAAUUUUCUAUGGUUGACCUCGGAUCAGGUAGGGAUACCCGCUGAACUUAAGCAUAUCAAUAAGCGGAGGA